This 491-nucleotide ribosomal RNA is filed under the name Corynebacterium striatum. RNAcentral describes it as "partial 23S ribosomal RNA". It matches the Rfam family "Bacterial large subunit ribosomal RNA", at positions 935 to 1426 of the family's 2925-position model. Lineage: Bacteria; Bacillati; Actinomycetota; Actinomycetes; Mycobacteriales; Corynebacteriaceae. The record is from RNAcentral.
CUUAGCAAUGUCAGCCAAACUCCGAAUGCCAUUAAUGUGUUGUGCGGCAGUGAGACUGUGGGGGAUAAGCUUCAUAGUCGAGAGGGAAACAGCCCAGAUCGCCGGUUAAGGCCCCUAAGGGUGUGCUAAGUGGAAAAGGAUGUGGGAUCGCGAAGACAGCCAGGAGGUUGGCUUAGAAGCAGCCAUCCUUGAAAGAGUGCGUAAUAGCUCACUGGUCGAGUGGUUCUGCGCCGACAAUGUAGUGGGGCUCAAGCACACCGCCGAAGCCGCGGCAAUAAUAUUUUGUUAUUGGGUAGGGGAGCGUCGUGCACGUGUUGAAGCGUUACCGUGAGGAGGCGUGGAGUGUGUGCGAGUGAGAAUGCAGGCAUGAGUAACGAAUUGGAAGGUGAGAAUCCUUCCCGCCGGAUGACUAAGGGUUCCUGGGUCAAGUUCGUCUUCCCAGGGUGAGUCGGGACCUAAGGCGAGGCCGACAGGCGUAGUCGAUGGAUAAC